Oncorhynchus keta (chum salmon) is the source of this 448-nucleotide long non-coding RNA. RefSeq lists it as uncharacterized. NCBI's taxonomy places the organism in Eukaryota, Metazoa, Chordata, Actinopteri, Salmoniformes, Salmonidae. The record is from RefSeq and is a predicted model, not a curated record. The transcript is spliced from 4 exons.
AAUACAUUGACUUUACAUUGAGGUUAAAUACAUUGACUUUACAUUGAGGUUAAAUACAUUGACUUUACAUUGAGGUUAAAUACAUUGUCUUUACACUGGAGGUUAAAUACAUUGACUUUACAUUGAGGUUAAAUACAUUGACUUUACAUUGAGGUUAAAUACAUUGACUUUACAUUGAGGUUAAAUACAUUGACUUUACAUUGAGGUUAAAUACAUUGUCUUUACACUGGAGGUUAAAUACAUUGACUUUACAUUGAGGUUAAAUACAUUGACUUUACAUUGAGGUUAAAUACAUUGUCUUUACACUGGAGGUUAAAUACAUUGACUUUACAUUGAGGUUAAAUACAUUGACUUUACAUUGAGGUUAAAUACAUUGACUUUACAUUGAGGUUAAAUACAUUGACUUUACAUUGAGGUUAAUUACAUUGACUUUACAUUGAGGUUAAAU